RNAcentral lists this ribosomal RNA (406 nucleotides) under uncultured bacterium. RNAcentral's name for it is "bacterial SSU rRNA". It matches the Rfam family "Bacterial small subunit ribosomal RNA", at positions 29 to 418 of the family's 1533-position model. The record is from RNAcentral.
AACGAACGCUGGCGGCGUGCCUAACACAUGCAAGUCGUGCGAGAAAGUUCCUUCGGGAGCGAGUAAAGCGGCGCACGGGUGAGUAACACGUAGGUAACCUGCCCCCCAGUCUGGAACAACUAGAGGAAACUCUAGCUAAUGCCGGAUGAGACCACGAUCCCUUCGGGGGUUGCGGCCAAAAGAUGGCCUCUACUUGUAAGCUAUCGCUGAGGGAUGGGCCUGCGGGCCAUUAGCUUGUUGGUGAGGUAACGGCUCACCAAGGCUGUGAUGGCUAGCUGGUCUGAGAGGAUGACCAGCCACACUGGGACUGAGACACGGCCCAGACUCCUACGGAGGCAGCAGUGGGGAAUAUUGCGCAAUGGGCGAAAGCCUGACGCAGCGACGCCGCGUGGGUGAUGAAGGCCUU